UAACUGGAGGACCGAACCGACUAAUGUUGAAAAAUUAGCGGAUGACCUGUGGCUGGGGGUGAAAGGCCAAUCAAACCGGGAGAUAGCUGGUUCUCCCCGAAAGCUAUUUAGGUAGCGCCUCGUGAAUUCAUCUCCGGGGGUAGAGCACUGUUUCGGCUAGGGGGCCAUCCCGGCUUACCAACCCGAUGCAAACUGCGAAUACCGGAGAAUGUUAUCACGGGAGACACACGGCGGGUGCUAACGUCCGUCGUGAAGAGGGAAACAACCCAGACCGCCAGCUAAGGUCCCAAAGUCAUGGUUAAGUGGGAAACGAUGUGGGAAGGCCCAGACAGCCAGGAUGUUGGCUUAGAAGCAGCCAUCAUUUAAAGAAAGCGUAAUAGCUCACUGGUCGAGUCGGCCUGCGCGGAAGAUGUAACGGGGCUAAACCAUGCACCGAAGCUGCGGCAGCGACACUGUGUGUUGUUGGGUAGGGGAGCGUUCUGUAAGCCUGUGAAGG
RNAcentral lists this ribosomal RNA (496 nucleotides) under Salmonella enterica subsp. enterica serovar Enteritidis. Its description in RNAcentral is "partial 23S ribosomal RNA". It matches the Rfam family "Bacterial large subunit ribosomal RNA", at positions 763 to 1256 of the family's 2925-position model. The record is from RNAcentral. Lineage: Bacteria; Pseudomonadati; Pseudomonadota; Gammaproteobacteria; Enterobacterales; Enterobacteriaceae.